AGAGUUUGAUUCUGGCUCAGGAUGAACGCUGGCGGCGUGCUUAACACAUGCAAGUCGAGCGGAGCGUAUCAGCGGAAUUUUUCGGAAGGAAGCGGAUACGCUUAGCGGCGGACGGGUGAGUAACGCGUGGGCAACCUGCCUCAUACGGGGGGAUAACAGUUAGAAAUGACUGCUAAUACCGCAUAAGCGCACGAGGGCCGCAUGGCCCGGUGUGAAAAACUCCGGUGGUAUGAGAUGGACCCGCGUCUGAUUAGCUUGUUGGCGGGGUAACGGCCCACCAAGGCGACGAUCAGUAGCCGACCUGAGAGGGUGGCCGGCCACAUUGGGACUGAGACACGGCCCAAACUCCUACGGGAGGCAGCAUUGCCCAAUAUUGCACAAUGGGGGAAACCCUGAUGCAGCAACGCCGCGUGAGUGAAGAAGUAUCUCGGUAUGUAAAGCUCUAUCAGCAGGGAAGAAAGAAGACGGUACCUGACUAAGAAGCCCCGGCUAACUA
Molecule: ribosomal RNA, 496 nt
Filed under: uncultured bacterium
Lineage: Bacteria
Description: bacterial SSU rRNA
Rfam family: Bacterial small subunit ribosomal RNA
Source: RNAcentral